GACGAACGCUGGCGGCGUGCCUAAUACAUGCAAGUUGAGCGCUGAAGGUUGGUACCUGUACCGACUGGAUGAGCAGCGAACGGGUGAGUAACGCGUGGGGAAUCUGCCUUUGAGCGGGGGACAACAUUUGGAAACGAAUGCUAAUACCGCAUAAAAACUUUAAACACAAGUUUUAAGUUUGAAAGAUGCAAUUGCAUCACUCAAAGAUGAUCCCGCGUUGUAUUAGCUAGUUGGUGAGGUAAAGGCUCACCAAGGCGAUGAUACAUAGCCGACCUGGGAGGGUGAUCGGCCACAUUGGGACUGAGACACGGCCCAAACUCCUACGGGAGGCAGCAGUAGGGAAUCUUCGGCAAUGGACGAAAGUCUGACCGAGCAACGCCGCGUGAGUGAAGAAGGUUUUCGGAUCGUAAAACUCUGUUGGUAGAGAAGAACGUUGGUGAGAGUGGAAAGCUCAUCAAGUGACGGUAACUACCCAGAAAGGGACGGCUAACUACGUGCCAGCCGCCGCUGUAA
Molecule: ribosomal RNA, 513 nt
Filed under: uncultured bacterium
Lineage: Bacteria
Description: partial 16S ribosomal RNA
Rfam family: Bacterial small subunit ribosomal RNA
Source: RNAcentral